CCUACGGGCGGCUGCAGUGGGGAAUAUUGCACAAUGGGCGCAAGCCUGAUGCAGCCAUGCCGCGUGUGUGAAGAAGGCCUUCGGGUUGUAAAGCACUUUCAGCGGGGAGGAAGGCGGUGAGGUUAAUAACCUCAUCGAUUGACGUUACCCGCAGAAGAAGCACCGGCUAACUCCGUGCCAGCAGCCGCGGUAAUACGGAGGGUGCAAGCGUUAAUCGGAAUUACUGGGCGUAAAGCGCACGCAGGCGGUCUGUCAAGUCGGAUGUGAAAUCCCCGGGCUCAACCUGGGAACUGCAUUCGAAACUGGCAGGCUAGAGUCUUGUAGAGGGGGGUAGAAUUCCAGGUGUAGCGGUGAAAUGCGUAGAGAUCUGGAGGAAUACCGGUGGCGAAGGCGGCUCCCUGGACAAAGACUGACGCUCAGGUGCGAAAGCGUGGGGAGCAAACAGGAUUAGAUACCCGGGUAGUC
This 465-nucleotide ribosomal RNA is filed under the name uncultured Klebsiella sp. Its description in RNAcentral is "bacterial SSU rRNA". It matches the Rfam family "Bacterial small subunit ribosomal RNA", at positions 338 to 795 of the family's 1533-position model. The record is from RNAcentral. Lineage: Bacteria; Pseudomonadati; Pseudomonadota; Gammaproteobacteria; Enterobacterales; Enterobacteriaceae.